GAGGUACUAGGUAUACAUCUGGGUCAUUUUAACUGCUUUUGAUAUUCCUUUGGGUGAAUAAAUCACAUUAAAAAAUAAUUUAUAUUGCGGUAACAUUGGUUUAUAACAUUAUAUAAGUUUCAGGUGUACAUCAUAUUUUGAUUUCUGUAUAGAUUACAUCAUGUUCACCACCCAAAGAGUAAUUACCAUCCAUCACCACACACAUGUGCCUAAUCACCCCCUUUCACCCCCUCCCUCCCCUCUUCCCCUCUGCUAACCACCAGUCCAAUCUCCUGUCGCUAUGUGAUUUCUGUCGGUUGUUUUUAUCUUCUACUUACGAGUGAACCACAUUUUUAGAUCUCCAUUCACCUAAUGAUUGUUAUCUCCACUUUCUCACUAUUACAGACAGGACUGCAAUGAACAUCUUUGUACUCAUCUCCCUGUGCACCUGAGACUCUGUUUAGAGUAGAACUGUUUUGCUGAAUUGUGAGGUUUGACCCUCUUCCAAUCUACUCGAUGUUCUCAAAUUCCUCCUCACAGGGAUUGUACCAACACACUCUCCUGUCAACUUGCAGAGGGGUUCCCUUUUUCCAGCUGCUUAUCAGACUUGCAAGAUUUUGCCCAUCUGAUCAGCGUGAGAACAAGUCUCCGCUGUUGCCAUGUGUUUCCCUGAUCACCAGCGACGCCCCCCGGUACAUAGUUGUAUAUUCUUCGUUGUGGGUCCUUCUAGUUGUGGCAUGUGGGAUGCUGCCUCAGCGUGGUUUGAUGAGCAGUGCCAUGUCCGCGCCCAGGACUCGAACCAACGAAACACUGGGCUGCCUGCAGCGGAGCGCGCGAACUUAACCACUCGGCCACGGGGCCAGCCCCUCAAAAGGCGUAUUUUUAAU
This 866-nucleotide long non-coding RNA is filed under the name Equus caballus (horse). RNAcentral's name for it is "lncRNA (ENSECAG00000039246.2)". The record is from RNAcentral. Lineage: Eukaryota; Metazoa; Chordata; Mammalia; Perissodactyla; Equidae.